UAACUAAUUUGAGAAAUUUGGAUAUCAGGACCAUUAAAACCUAGAUUUAUUACCAGAGAUUUUCCAAAUGGAAAAUAAUAUCUCUGGCAGAUUUUUUAUUGGACAAUUAAAGCUCAGUGGUCACUGCAAUACUUAUCUUGUUUCAUAGUGAUAUUAUGACUCUCAAAGUUAUAAACAGCAUGUUCUUAAAUGGAGAAAACAUUAAAUAUAGCACAGUGAGCUCUUCUGUUUGUAUUGGGGGGCAGUUGUGAUCUUAUGGUUAGAGAGUCAGACUUCUAACCCAAAGGUUGCGGGUUUAAGUCUCGGUACUGGCAGGGAUUGUAGGUGGGUGGAAUGAAUGACCAGUGCUCUCUUCCACCCUCAAUCUCACGACUGAGUUGAGACCCUUGAGCAAGAACCAAACCUACAUAGACUCCCCAGAUCAAUCAUUUAGGCCACGUUGAAGACUUACCUGACCUAUCCUCACUACAAAAUCUCUAGACAUUAAUAACUGAUGCUCACAUCAAAGAUCUCAAAUCCAGCAAUGUCCAGCACACCAAUGAAGAACUGUCUAGGCUGCUUUGUGUCCAGCAUCUCAUUGAUACGGAC
Long non-coding RNA from Carassius auratus (goldfish), 588 nucleotides. RefSeq lists it as uncharacterized. The record is from RefSeq and is a predicted model, not a curated record. The transcript has 3 exons. Lineage: Eukaryota; Metazoa; Chordata; Actinopteri; Cypriniformes; Cyprinidae.